Molecule: ribosomal RNA, 410 nt
Filed under: uncultured Methylomirabilota bacterium
Lineage: Bacteria; Methylomirabilota (SeqCode)
Description: bacterial SSU rRNA
Rfam family: Bacterial small subunit ribosomal RNA
Source: RNAcentral
AGCGUGGAGACAGGUGGUGCAUGGCUGUCGUCAGCUCGUGUCGUGAGAUGUUGGGUUAAGUCCCGCAACGAGCGCAACCCUCACCCUUUGUUGCCAUCAGGUUAUGCUGGGCACUCUAAGGGAACUGCCUCGGUUAACGAGGAGGAAGGUGGGGAUGACGUCAAGUCAUCAUGCCCCUUACGCUCUGGGCUACACACGUGCUACAAUGGCCAAUACAAAGGGCUGCAAACCCGCGAGGGCAAGCCAAUCCCAAAAAAUUGGUCUCAGUUCAGAUUGUAGGCUGCAACCCGCCUGCAUGAAGGAGGAAUCGCUAGUAAUCGUGGAUCAGCAUGCCACGGUGAAUACGUUCCCGGGCCUUGUACACGCCGCCCGUCACACCACGAAAGUCUGCUGUACUCGAAGUCGCUGAG